This 509-nucleotide ribosomal RNA is filed under the name uncultured bacterium. RNAcentral's name for it is "partial 16S ribosomal RNA". The stretch from base 21 to 333 matches the Rfam family "Bacterial small subunit ribosomal RNA", at positions 48 to 357 of the family's 1533-position model. The record is from RNAcentral.
GACGAACGCUGGCGGCGCGCCUAACACAUGCAAGUCGAACGGAGCUGAGAGAAGCUUGCUUUUCUUAGCUUAGUGGCGAACGGGUGAGUAACGCGUGAGUAACCUGCCCUGGAGUGGGGGACAACAGUUGGAAACGACUGCUAAUACCGCAUAAGCCCACGAUCCGGCAUCGGAUUGAGGGAAAAGGAUUUAUUCGCUUCAGGAUGGACUCGCGUCCAAUUAGCUAGUUGGUGAGGUAACGGCCCACCAAGGCGACGAUUGGUAGCCGGACUGAGAGGUUGCAGGGCCAAGGUGGGGGGGAGACACGGCGCAGACACGGAGGGGGAGCAGAGGUGGGUGAGAGGGCAGAAGGGGGGAAAGCGUGAGAGAGGGAGGCGGGGUGGAGAAAGAAGGUAUGCAGGUUGAACACGCAGGUGGUUAGGGACGAUAAGGACGGAACAUAAAAAAAAAGCCCCGGCGAACGACGUGCAAGCGGCCGCGGUAAUAAUAGGAAGAGCACAGGAAUGAAC